GGAACUCGGCAAAAUGACCCCGUAACUUAGGGAUAAGGGGUGCCACCAUCAGGUGGCCGCAGAGAAUAGGCCCAAGCGACUGUUUACCAAAAACAUAGGUUUCUGCUAAGUCGCAAGACGAUGUAUAGGAGCUGACGCCUGCCCGGUGCUGGAAGGUUAAGGGGAUCUGUUAGAGCAAUCGAAGCAGUGAACUUAAGCCCCAGUAAACGGCGGCCGUAACUAUAACGGUCCUAAGGUAGCGAAAUUCCUUGUCGGGUAAGUUCCGACCCGCACGAAAGGCGUAACGAUUUGGGCACUGUCUCAACAACAGACUCGGUGAAAUUGUAAUUCCGGUGAAGAUGCCGGAUACCUGCGACAGGACGGAAAGACCCCAUGGAGCUUUACUGUAGCUUGACAUUGGGUCUUGGUACUACAUGUACAGGAUAGGUGGGAGGCUUUGAAACCAGGACGCCAGUUUUGGCGGAGCCAUCCUUGGGAUACCACCCUUGUAGUACUGGGACUCUAACCAUAGGCCAUGAAUCUGGUCUUGGGACACUGUCAGGUGGGCAGUUUGACUGGGGCGGUCGCCUCCCAAAAGGUAACGGAGGCGCUCAAAGGUUCUCUCAGUACGGUCGGAAAUCGUACGUAGAGUGUAAAGGCAAAAGAGAGCUUGAUUGCAAGACAUACAGGUCGAGCAAGGAUGAAAAUCGGACUUAGUGAUCCGGUGGUUCUGCGUGGAAGGGCCAUCGCUCAACGGAUAAAAGCUACCCUGGGGAUAACAGGCUUAUCUCCCCCAAGAGUCCACAUCGACGGGGAGGUUUGGCACCUCGAUGUCGGCUCAUCACAUCCUGGGGCUGUAGUAGGUCCCAAGGGUUGGGCUGUUCGCCCAUUAAAGUGGUACGCGAGCUGGGUUCAGAACGUCGUGAGACAGUUCGGUCCCUAUCCGUCGCAGGCGUAGGAAAUUUGAGAAGACCUGUCCUUAGUACGAGAGGACCGGGAUGGACG
This 984-nucleotide ribosomal RNA is filed under the name Clostridioides difficile. Its description in RNAcentral is "partial 23S ribosomal RNA". It matches the Rfam family "Bacterial large subunit ribosomal RNA", at positions 1709 to 2703 of the family's 2925-position model. Lineage: Bacteria; Bacillati; Bacillota; Clostridia; Peptostreptococcales; Peptostreptococcaceae. The record is from RNAcentral.